This is a non-coding RNA of Pelobates cultripes (western spadefoot toad), 580 nucleotides long. Lineage: Eukaryota; Metazoa; Chordata; Amphibia; Anura; Pelobatidae. The record is from the annotation of a GenBank genome assembly.
CUUUAACUAUAUUCAUUGUCAGCCAGUCCACACAAGUUUUGUUCCCAUACAUCCCUCUUCAGUUUCCAUACUUAAGUAAGAGUAUGUGAAAAGUAGUUAGGGUUGCCACCUUUCUUGGAAAAACAUACCGGCCUUGCUAAUUUGCAUAAUUAAAUAUGUAUGGGUGACAUCAUAUGAUGUAAAUCACAAGGAGUGGCAUAAGAGAAAAACGCUGUAAAAUCACCAAAAAACUACUUAGUUUGAUUCUGCUGUAUAGAUGGAUUCCUCCCAGUGCCCCAUGUCUCCCAGUGCCCUCAUGACUCAGUGCCCCCAUGUGUCGAUUACUCCAGGCCUCAGUGUUCCUAUGUAUCAGUGUCUCAGUGCCCCAUGUCUCCCAGUGUCCCCUAGUGUCGUGUCCCCAGGUCUCCCAGUGAUCCUAUGUAUCAGUGUCUCAAUGCCCCAUGUCUCCCUGUGUCCCCAUGUAUCCCAGGGUCCCCAUGUCACUAGGAAGACGGGGAGACCUGGGGACACGGGGAGACCUAGGGACACGGAGACACCAGUGACACUGGGAGACUAGGGGACUCUGGCUGGGACACAUGGG